UACUCUUCCAGUUGAAAGAGGUCUAACUUCCCUAUUCAUGAAUCUGGGAGGCCUUAGUGAGAAUCCGAGACUUUUAAAACUAGGUCUGAAGAAGGUUUGCAGCUUCUACCCAGGGUUCUUGAAUGACCCAUUCUGAGGACCACUGCCUACUAGAUUUUCAGCAGAGCAUUUUAAGACCAAGAAAUAUAGAUGCCAGGCUCUCCAUGCAGGACAUUCCAAGAGAUUGUGAAACCAACUGUUAAACUGCAGCCCAUCACCUACCUUGAGGAUUUAUAGAUACUGGCAGGAUGAGGACUAUUAAAGUAACUACUCCUGGACCUUGCUAUGUGCUCCCUGGCAUUUGAGUGCAUAGCCAAGAGGCCGGCUGGAGCCACUGGAGUGACAGAGAAAAGUGAGGGCUUCAUGGGCAGCAGCCUGCACCUCUGGAAGCAGACAGGGCUCAGCACAUCCUCAAGGAAAAUCUCUGGUGUUGAGUCAACUUGGGAAGGUUUGAAAUUUUGAUUGUGGUAAUUGUUACACAAUGCAUACAUGUAUCAAAUCAUCAU
Molecule: long non-coding RNA, 545 nt
Filed under: Homo sapiens (human)
Lineage: Eukaryota; Metazoa; Chordata; Mammalia; Primates; Hominidae
Description: HSALNT0347054
Source: RNAcentral